AUUGAACGCUGGCGGCAGGCCUAACACAUGCAAGUCGAACGGUAACAGGAAGAAGCUUGCUUCUUUGCUGACGAGUGGCGGACGGGUGAGUAAUGUCUGGGAAACUGCCUGAUGGAGGGGGAUAACUACUGGAAACGGUAGCUAAUACCGCAUAACGUCGCAAGACCAAAGAGGGGGACCUUCGGGCCUCUUGCCAUCGGAUGUGCCCAGAUGGGAUUAGCUAGUAGGUGGGGUAACGGCUCACCUAGGCGACGAUCCCUAGCUGGUCUGAGAGGAUGACCAGCCACACUGGAACUGAGACACGGUCCAGACUCCUACGGGAGGCAGCAGUGGGGAAUAUUGCACAAUGGACGCAAGCCUGAUGCAGCCAUGCCGCGUGUAUGAAGAAGGCCUUCGGGUUGUAAAGUACUUUCAGCGGGGAGGAAGGGAGUAAAGUUAAUACCUUUACUCAUUGACGUUACCCGCAGAAGAAGCACCGGCUAACUCCGUG
RNAcentral lists this ribosomal RNA (490 nucleotides) under uncultured bacterium. RNAcentral describes it as "partial 16S ribosomal RNA". It matches the Rfam family "Bacterial small subunit ribosomal RNA", at positions 30 to 507 of the family's 1533-position model. The record is from RNAcentral.